This 253-nucleotide ribosomal RNA is filed under the name uncultured bacterium. RNAcentral describes it as "partial 16S ribosomal RNA". It matches the Rfam family "Bacterial small subunit ribosomal RNA", at positions 524 to 776 of the family's 1533-position model. The record is from RNAcentral.
UACAGAGGGGGCAAGCGUUAUUCGGAAUUAUUGGGCGUAAAGGGCGCGUAGGCGGCUUUGCAAGUGACGGGUGAAAGCCCUCGGCUUAACCGAGGAACUGCCUGUCAGACUGUAAGGCUUGAGACCGGGAGAGGUGAGUGGAAUUCCCAGUGUAGCGGUGAAAUGCGUAGAUAUCAGGAGGAACACCGGUGGCGAAGGCGGCUUUCUGGACAGAAACUGACGCUGAGGCACGAAAGCGUGGGGAGCAAACAGG